RNAcentral lists this ribosomal RNA (484 nucleotides) under uncultured bacterium. RNAcentral describes it as "partial 16S ribosomal RNA". It matches the Rfam family "Bacterial small subunit ribosomal RNA", at positions 30 to 507 of the family's 1533-position model. The record is from RNAcentral.
AUUGAACGCUGGCGGCAGGCCUAACACAUGCCAGUCGAGCGGAUGAAGGGAGCUUGCUCCUGGAUUCAGCGGCGGACGGGUGAGUAAUGCCUAGGAAUCUGCCUGGUAGUGGGGGAUAACGUCCGGAAACGGGCGCUAAUACCGCAUACGUCCUGAGGGAGAAAGUGGGGGAUCUUCGGACCUCACGCUAUCAGAUGAGCCUAGGUCGGAUUAGCUAGUUGGUGGGGUAGAGGCCUACCAAGGCGACGAUCCGUAACUGGUCUGAGAGGAUGAUCAGUCACACUGGAACUGAGACACGGUCCAGACUCCUACGGGAGGCAGCAGUGGGGAAUAUUGGACAAUGGGCGGAAGCCUGAUCCAGCCAUGCCGCGUGUGUGAAGAAGGUCUUCGGAUUGUAAAGCACUUUAAGUUGGGAGGAAGGGCAGUAAGUUAAUACCUUGCUGUUUUGACGUUACCAACAGAAUAAGCACCGGCUAACUUCGUG